AAUCCCCCACACUGGUACUGAGACACGGACCAGACUCCUACGGGAGGCAGCAGUAAGGAAUAUUGGUCAAUGGGCGGAAGCCUGAACCAGCCAUGCCGCGUGCAGGAUGACUGCCCUAUGGGUUGUAAACUGCUUUUGUCCAGGAAUAAACCUAGAUACGUGUAUCUAGCUGAAUGUACUGGAAGAAUAAGGAUCGGCUAACUCCGUGCCAGCAGCCGCGGUAAUACGGAGGAUCCGAGCGUUAUCCGGAUUUAUUGGGUUUAAAGGGUGCGUAGGCGGCCUAUUAAGUCAGGGGUGAAAUACGGUGGCUCAACCAUCGCAGUGCCUUUGAUACUGAUGGGCUUGAAUCCAUUUGAAGUGGGCGGAAUAAGACAAGUAGCGGUGAAAUGCAUAGAUAUGUCUUAGAACUCCGAUUGCGAAGGCAGCUCACUAAGCUGGUAUUGACGCUGAUGCACGAAAGCGUGGGGAUCGAACAGGAUUAGAUACCCUGGUAGUCCACGCCCUAAACGAUGAUAACUCGAUGUUGGCGAUAGACAGCCAGCGUCUUAGCGAAAGCGUUAAGUUAUCCACCUGGGGAGUACGCCCGCAAGGGUGAAACUCAAAGGAAUUGACGGGGGCCCGCACAAGCGGAGGAGCAUGUGGUUUAAUUCGAUGAUACGCGAGGAACCUUACCCGGGCUUGAAAGUUAGUGAAGAGACCAGAGACGGUCUCGUCCUUCGGGACACGAAACUAGGUGCUGCAUGGCUGUCGUCAGCUCGUGCCGUGAGGUGUUGGGUUAAGUCCCGCAACGAGCGCAACCCCUAUGUUUAGUUGCCAGCAUGUAAUGGUGGGGACUCUAAACAGACUGCCUGUGCAAACAGUGAGGAAGGUGGGGACGACGUCAAGUCAUCAUGGCCCUUACGUCCGGGGCUACACACGUGCUACAAUGGAUGGUACAGCGGGCAGCUACAUAGCAAUAUGAUGCUAAUCUCUAAAAGCCAUUCACAGUUCGGAUUGGGGUCUGCAACUCGACCCCAUGAAGUUGGAUUCGCUAGUAAUCGCGUAUCAGCAAUGACGCGGUGAAUACGUUCCCGGGCCUUGUACACACCGCCCGUCAAGCCAUGAAAGUUGGGGGUACCUAAAGCAUGUGACCGCAAGGAGCG
RNAcentral lists this ribosomal RNA (1142 nucleotides) under Sphingobacterium detergens. RNAcentral describes it as "bacterial SSU rRNA". It matches the Rfam family "Bacterial small subunit ribosomal RNA", at positions 302 to 1454 of the family's 1533-position model. Lineage: Bacteria; Pseudomonadati; Bacteroidota; Sphingobacteriia; Sphingobacteriales; Sphingobacteriaceae. The record is from RNAcentral.